Camellia sinensis is the source of this 502-nucleotide non-coding RNA. The record is from RefSeq and is a predicted model, not a curated record. NCBI's taxonomy places the organism in Eukaryota, Viridiplantae, Streptophyta, Magnoliopsida, Ericales, Theaceae.
UUUUCUUUUACUUGUAAUUUUGUCCUCUAUAAAGCCGCUUCCCCUCUUCUCCUUCAAUUUGUGUUAUUCUUGUGCAUCAUUCUCUCACAUGUCCACGAUGUAGAGAGAUCCUCAGUUGUCGCUGUCAGCUAUUUGUUAAUUUUUAACUGCCUCCCCCCAAAUAAUGUUAAAAGCACUAACAAUCGUAUCAACAAACAUAUCAACAAGACACUGUUAUGGAAACUCACUUUCUGCUCAUUACCUGUUUUUGUGCUCCUUCUGUCUGCAUGGGUCUAAUUGGCAUUGUAUGUUGAUCACCUCAUUUGGUCUACCCUUAGAUAUUGAUAAACUAGACUUUGAGGUUGAGCCAAAGAUGUAUUUCAGUGAGUUAAUUGCUUCUUUCUGUGCAAAUAAAAACAUUUGUAAAUGACAUUUGUUUUCUCAGGUUUUGUUUUGAGAUAUUUGUUAACACAGAAAUCCAUUAACUAGUGAUGUGUGAAGUCUCCAACAAACCCACAAAAUA